RNAcentral lists this long non-coding RNA (986 nucleotides) under Pelusios castaneus (West African mud turtle). Its description in RNAcentral is "lncRNA (ENSPCEG00000017580.1)". Lineage: Eukaryota; Metazoa; Chordata; Testudines; Pelomedusidae. The record is from RNAcentral.
CAGACGCUGAGUUUCACUUCUGUCUUGGUAUCCUGGCACAGGCACCACACAGAAUCCCCUUGCCACACGGGUCCUGGAUGGCGCUCGGUCUCUGGUUGUGUCUGCUUGCCCCAGCUCUGUGGGUCGCCAGCCAGGACUCCUGCCAUCCGAAUGGGGCCAUGCCGGCUCCUGAGUUCUCUCUCAAUGCGUCCCAGGCUCAUGUUGGGGACUGGGUUACCAUGAGGUGUCUGAUCCUGGAUAAGUCUCAAGUGAAUCGCGUGAUCUUCUGCAAGGAUGGGCAGGAAAUUGGAAGCCAACAGUUCAACCGCAACAAAUUUUCCCAAGACUUCGCACAUCUCUUCUCUGGCCUGGGGGACACUGGGAAUUUCUCCUGCCGCUACCAGCACAGGACUGACAAUAAUGAGCUGGUUAAUUCCAACCUGAGCAACUCCAGGAUCCUGAGCCUGAGAGAUGCUGCACGUGUCCAGGAUGGAGGUGACUCUGCCAGGCCUGCCAGCACAGGAACCCACGCUUCUCCGAGUGCUGUGUCAUCAUCCUGGCGAAGACCUAGGGAGCAGAGCCCCAGCAGCGGUGGCCGCAGCGCUGGCGCUGGCAAUCAUGACGGUGGCAGCGGUGGUGGUGGACACAUCGAGGACCAGCUGCACUAUGCAGCCAUCAGCCAGUUCCACCACUCCAGGACACUGCCCCCCAGGAAGGAUGACAUGGUGACGUAUGCGGCGCUGAGGUAGAGGUGAAGGGACUGGUCAUAGCACUGGACUCCUGCCUGGGCACUGAUCGGGGCCCUGCCAUGGGGUGUGCCCCCCCCCCCUCGAUCCGCUCCCUAUGGCACAGCCAUCCACUGGGGCAUUGGGCCAGCUGCCAGGGGAAAGCACCCCCCUACUUAGCCUCACUCCCUACAGCACAGCGCCCCUAGGGUCGCCGGCCCGCCAGGGAGCUGGCCUAGGAUUCCUACCUCGCUUUGUUUUAUCCUCCAUUUUCAGGAAAAC